Molecule: small nucleolar RNA, 129 nt
Organism: Ictidomys tridecemlineatus (thirteen-lined ground squirrel)
Lineage: Eukaryota; Metazoa; Chordata; Mammalia; Rodentia; Sciuridae
Source: Ensembl
GUUGAGGUCUAUCCCGAUGGGGCUUCUCUUGUAGCCACUGUUGGAAACGCCUAAUAGAGUUAAUUCUGUGGUUUUGCUUUCCUCAUAGGACUGUUUGUUAGGCCUGUGGGAAGUAACUACAAGACAAUU